This 3987-nucleotide long non-coding RNA is filed under the name Gallus gallus (chicken). Its description in RNAcentral is "lncRNA (ENSGALG00010018924.1)". Lineage: Eukaryota; Metazoa; Chordata; Aves; Galliformes; Phasianidae. The record is from RNAcentral.
CUCCAGUCCUUCCCCUACACCUUUCCUGUGCACACCCCUUUAAUGAAGUGUAAAAAUAGAUAUCUUUUGUGAUAUGUUUCUACACUUUCCUAAUGAGCAACGUAAUAACACUUUUAGUUUCAUCAUUGGUCUGCAACAACCACCCUAGCUGUCCUUGCCUUUCUCCAGAUUAGCUUCAGAGCACCACAGUUAUCCUGCCAGCCACCCCACAGUUGCCUAAGAAAAUAUUUGCAUGUCCAUACAUUUUCUGCUAUCUAACACUGUGUGUAUGAAACUCACUCUUAGAAGACAUUUCUCUGGCAGCCUGGAAAAUGCCAGUAUUCCUGUGUGCAAUGAGGAUAAAUGAAGAUUUACUUCUUGCUUGUCAUUUCUCUGGAGUGUUCAGCAUGGAAGGAGAUUGCUAAUGCUUGUCUGGUCCCCUAUGGACCACUGCCUUCCGCACAAGGAAAGGCUGGCAGCACAUGGAGGAAAAUCAUGCAACUCUUCUUCCGUAGGGAUGACUCCUCUGGGAGAAGGUUGGGGCGCACGGGCACAGUGUUGGGAGGGAAGUCUUUCUCUGUUGCAGAGGAGAAGUAGAGGAUUUUGGUGUUCAUGACCUUUUACCUGGCUGCUCUCUUCAACCCACAGUCCUAAAAAAUUAAUUGUCUGGAAAAGAUAUGAAACAGGAUUGAGUUCCUCAAAGGGACUCUCCUCUCGGCUGCUACAGGAUCUGCUGACUGCACACAUUCUGUCCUCUCUCUUGCCUGGCUCCCAGUUAUCUCCUUCCCUCCUCGAAAGUUUAUGAUUUUACUUUUGUGAAAUUUCUUAGCUUCUCACUUGGGGACUGAAGGAUGUUUCAUGAGCAGAAAUGGAGCAAAUGACUUUCCCUAUAACAGAUGAUACUGGAUAUCAACAAACAAAGAAAAAAAAAAAGCUGCAUCUAGAUCCUGCCAGAAGGCCUUUCUCCACUGAAGUGUGUGCCCAGCCAGCAAGUAUAUGAAGAGACAUGUUCGAGAGCAGAUGGGCCAAGGUGAGCCUGAAUCUCACUAGUCCAUGGUCACCUCAAAGACUGGGUAUGGGAAAUAUUCUCUAUUACAAUUAAAUCUGUUUUUUUCCUUAUUUCCCAUUCCCUUGGGUGAGAAAUCUAACUCUCUGGAGUGUAAAAACACAUGUUAUGGAGGUCUUUGGUUGAUGAUAACUCUGGUCACACAAGAGCUUUCUUCCACAGUAGUUUCUCUGUGCUUUGUUUGUUGUUGUUUUGUUUGUUUUAACAACCACAUUGGCUGUAACAGCAGAAAAUACAACCUUAUGUAAAAAAAAAAUACCAAACAAAACAACAACCAAAAACCCAGCACAUACACUGGAUUAACCUCGUGAGAAACUGGCAGGAGAAUGCCCUCCCUUAAAUCAUAUACUUGUACUCCCCCACAGCUGUGAUAAAAUAAAAUGAAAAAGAGUGUCCUCAAUUUUUCUUUCACCAAUGUGUUACGAAGUUGUCAGGCCAGGCCUGGUGGUAGGGCAGCAGAUGACUAAUAGCUGUGUUUUUUAAUUAAACACUAUCAGAAGAAAUGAUAGAUUAGUGUUCCCACCCCCUGCAUUUCCCAGAACAUUUCAAAAUUACUUUUUGAAAAAUGGACUUCAAAAGAAAAAAGAAAAAAAAAAAAAGCAUGAAACAAUGAUGGGAAUUUCUUGUCUUUCUGGACCAGAAUAAAAGCUUUCUGGCUGUCAGAAGGAAAAUUUAUAUUUAUUUAUGUAUUUAUCACAUUUCAACCGAUACAGGUCUGAUUUGUACCUGGUUGGGAUUUCUACAGCAGAGCUGGAUCUCACCUUCGUAGGUCUCUGUCUUACUGCAAGCAUUUCUACUGCCACAGGAGAUGUUUUUCUUCUGUAAGUUAGCUCCCUGCAGGAAACUCUUCAGUUGUUUUGUAGGUGGAUGGACACUCAAGAUGCCCUAUAGGAGGAAGUCAAGUUGCACUUCGCUUUCUCCUGCAGAUGAACAGUGAACACUUCUUAGAAGAGAAGGCAUAACAUGAUUCAUCUCAAUAACCCUCACAUAUGCACUGCUGAAUCUAGACUACGUGCCUCAACUCUCCCUAUGGGCAAUGGGGAGAAGAAGGUCAUUCUGGACAGUCCUGGAGUCCACCCAUUAGCCUGAGGAUGUUUCUUGUGCCCCGGCUGUAAAAUGGGAAGAUUUCACCAAACAUAACCUGGACACUGUGUGAUGAACAUAGUACUGCAGUCAUUCAGCUGUACAAGCAACUGCUUACAGAAGAGCCUUCUGUAUGUACGCAGGUUGUGAUCAUUUAUUAGAGGCAAACUGCUGCCUGCUUUUCUUUGUCCCUCUUUUGUGGCAGGAGGCAUAAAAGCCCAGCUCCUCUUCCUCUUUCCUCGUGACAUUAUUAUGUAAAUCAUCGUAUCACCAAGAAUAAGCACUUUGCCUAUGCCUGAGAAGAGAUGUUAUCUGGGAUUCUCAACUUACAAUUAAAAAGAAAAAAAGAAAAAGAAAAAAAGGAAAGAAAGUAGCAUUGUAGCCAUUGUUUCCAAAGAAGAAAUGUUGGCAUUCGUGAUAUUUAGAGCUAUAAAAUCUGAAAAUGAUAAGAUGUGGAAGGUUGAGUGAGACCCACAUUUCUACUACUGAGACAUAUACUGGGAGUGAGAGGGGGAAUGCUUGAGCCCACCAGAAGGAAUAGCUUUCUUAUCCAGAAGUAGCUGAUAAUUAAGAGCUACAGUUCUGUACCUACAAGAAAUAAGGGUUCAGAACCUGAAACUGUGCUUUAAGCAGAAACUGAAACCAAAUAUCUCAGUGCAGAUGACUGGAUCACCAUUUUCUCUUGAAGAACCUCUGGCCCUUUUUGUUAUGUUAGAGCACUCAAGCCAUGAGGACUGACAAAAGGUUUCCAACUUCUAUCAUCUCCAACAAACAGCUUAAGUUUUUUAAGGUUUUCAUCCAAAAAUAAAGGUCAUUAAAGUGACUUAAGCCUUUCAGAGUGCUCGUUUGGAGUUCCUCUUCUCAGUAGAGGAGCUUAGACUCUUCCUGAGAUACACUUCAGGUUCUGAGUGUUAUUCUGGAUUUUGUCCAGAAUGAACAAGUGGUGGGGGACAGGAAUGCAAUCCGCAGAUAAAAUGGGGACAUCAUUAACUUUCUGUCCUCAUUGUUAUUUUGAUUAGUGAGAUAUUUGGCCCCCAGAAGAUGGUGCAUUUGUAACGAAGAAGAUGCAAACAGCCUGUAAGGCAUGCUAUAAAUUUGAGAGACUGGAAAAUUGGGCUAGUGCCCAGAUGAAUGAUUAUUUUUUAAAAGAAAUGCAUUUAUAUCUCUCCUUUCUAACUGAAAAUACGUGUCAGUACUUAGAGACAGGAAAACCUUCUUUAUCCUUAUCUCUGCUGCGUGUCCUUUUUUUUCUGAGACUUCUCCAUCUUCAGAUAUGGCACACACAUCCCUUCUAACACACCAUAUUUCAAAGUAGCAGAGUCCUGGCCUAGCAUCCUGGUGCUAACAUUCUGGAUGCCUUGCUGCAACAAGUCCUGAGCAGCAGCGUACAUGCCAAUAAAAUCCUGCUUACAUGCAAUGGUGAGUGAAAAUAGGAUUGAGGCUCUUCCCUCUGCCAGCCAUUUAACUUCUGUCCAAGGAAAUUCAAGUGAUAUGCAGCACUCCUGCUGAUGCUGAUUAAUUUCUAGAUCCACCUAGGGUAGCAAGAGAAAACUGAAGAUAUGGUGGGAGUAGAUAAUUUCUCAGAAUCUUUUCUCUGGACGUGCUCUGAAUGCAUUUAGAUAAAAAUGCCACUUCAUGAGUGAAAUAAAAGUGAAAGGCAGUUACGUUCCUGGAAAUGCAUCUGCGUAAGAGUUCAGAAGGCUUGUACGUAACGUGGUGACACAAACAGUGGGGCCUUGUAUGCUUGUCACAGUGCCCUAUGGCCAGCAACAAAAACACAGGCAUUUCUAAAUUAAAAGAUCAUUUCUGUAUUAAUUUAUAACUCAGGUACACACAGGGCUAACUAUUUUCCAGAGGCC